Molecule: ribosomal RNA, 504 nt
Filed under: uncultured bacterium
Lineage: Bacteria
Description: partial 16S ribosomal RNA
Rfam family: Bacterial small subunit ribosomal RNA
Source: RNAcentral
AUUGAACGCUGGCGGCAUGCCUUACACAUGCAAGUCGAACGGCAGCAUGAAGAGCUUGCUCUCUGAUGGCGAGUGGCGAACGGGUGAGUAAAGCAUCGGAACGUACCGUGUAGUGGGGGAUAACGUAGCGAAAGUUACGCUAAUACCGCAUACGCACUGAGGUGGAAAGCAGGGGAUCGCAAGACCUUGCGCUAUACGAGCGGCCGAUGUCAGAUUAGCUAGUUGGUAGGGUAAAGGCCUACCGAGGCGACGAUCUGGAGCGGGUCUGAGAGGAUGAUCCGCCACACUGGGACUGAGACACGGCCCAGACUCCUACGGGAGGCAGCAGUGGGGAAUUUUGGACAAUGGGGGCAACCCUGAUCCAGCCAUGCCGCGUGAGUGAAGAAGGCCUUCGGGUUGUAAAGCUCUUUCGGCCGGGAAGAAAUCGCACAGGCUAAUACUCUGUGUGGAUGACGGUACCGGCAUAAGAAGCACCGGCUAACUACGUGCCAGCCGCCGCCGUAA